Molecule: long non-coding RNA, 15757 nt
Filed under: Capsicum annuum
Lineage: Eukaryota; Viridiplantae; Streptophyta; Magnoliopsida; Solanales; Solanaceae
Description: long non-coding RNA (CANN_LNC004167)
Source: RNAcentral
CAGGAUAUUGUGAUUCAUUAUUCCUCCACCAAUCCAACGUGUUGAUCCGUCUUCUGCGAUCCUCUGACGGUGAUCGAAGAUUAUAAUACUUAAGCUCUUCCCGAUAAGUUGAUGUGUAAACUCCCUCGUCAACACUGUUCUAACAGGGUAAAUCAUAAAAGGAAUCAAGAAAACCACAAUGUGCCAGCCUUUUAGAAAAUGAUGGCACCUCAGGAGGAUAAGGAACGAUAGUUGGACUGAUAUGUGUUGGUACAGCUAAAUCAACUAAAUCAACAUAGUGGUUAUAUAAUUUAUCUAUGUAAGCAUUCACAUCAGACGUAGCCGUCCACAAAUCAGGUUGUACUUGUUCAGAAUCAUUGUUAGUAUUUAUUUCUAAGUUACGAUAAAUAAGAGUACUAAAGUGGCACAUAGUAUGGUAUUUAAUGCAUGGAUUUAGCAUAGCACCAACCAAGAAAAUAGGGGGAAUCGGGAAAAAAUAUUUUUUAAAUUUAGUAAACAUGGCACCAACAACAUUUUUAUAACCUUCUUUAUUUUUAUAUAUUCUUUGAGCAAACCAGAAAUAUCGGUUAUAUAUCCCAAAAUAUUACAAACAGUAGGAUAAUGAGAACCAAAAAAUUCAACUGUAGAUACAUAAAAUUUUUCCAAAAACUUAACAAAAUCAUUAAUUACAACCCAAUUAGAAUCAAGUAGCAGACAAUCGACAGAAUCAACAAAUGAACCACAAUGUUGGUUAAAAGCUAAUGUAAUAGGAACUCUAUAUUUAUAACAAGUUUUUAAAAAAUCAUACGUAGAAUUCCAUCUAAUAUCAAUUUCCUCAGGCAUCAAUAUCGGUGCAAGUCCAUUUUCUUGACAUUUAACUUUAAAUUCUUUAAUUCUCGAUCUACGAUUAUUUCCUUGUAUAAAACCAACAGCAAGACGGAUUUUUUCAAUAUAAAUCUCAAAAAACUCAAGACCAUCUUUUACAAUUAAAUUAUAUAUAUGACAUGCACACUUAAUAUGAAAAAUUUUAGGUAACGGCAGUGAUAACUUAGAUUUCAACUUUGUUAUAGCAAUCUUGUUGUAAGAAGCGUUAUCAAAAGCGAUACAUAAGAUUUUAUUUUCUAUACUAUAAAAUGCUGCAACUUUAUGUAUCGAGUCAGCAAUAAAUUGUCCAGUAUGUUUACGAUUUUCAUCAUAUAAAAAAGCAAGAAUACAUUUUUGCACAAAAUUACUACUAUCCAUCCAGUGAGAAGUAACGGUUAAAUAAUCAUUUUUAUUUACAGUACGACCAAGAUCAGAAUUUAGGGAUAUUCUACAUUGAAUAUUUUUUNNNNNNNNNNNNNNNNNNNNNNNNNNNNNNNNNNNNNNNNNNNNNNNNNNNNNNNNNNNNNNNNNNNNNNNNNNNNNNNNNNNNNNNNNNNNNNNNNNNNNNNNNNNNNNNNNNNNNNNNNNNNNNNNNNNNNNNNNNNNNNNNNNNNNNNNNNNNNNNNNNNNNNNNNNNNNNNNNNNNNNNNNNNNNNNNNNNNNNNNNNNNNNNNNNNNNNNNNNNNNNNNNNNNNNNNNNNNNNNNNNNNNNNNNNNNNNNNNNNNNNNNNNNNNNNNNNNNNNNNNNNNNNNNNNNNNNNNNNNNNNNNNNNNNNNNNNNNNNNNNNNNNNNNNNNNNNNNNNNNNNNNNNNNNNNNNNNNNNNNNNNNNNNNNNNNNNNNNNNNNNNNNNNNNNNNNNNNNNNNNNNNNNNNNNNNNNNNNNNNNNNNNNNNNNNNNNNNNNNNNNNNNNNNNNNNNNNNNNNNNNNNNNNNNNNNNNNNNNNNNNNNNNNNNNNNNNNNNNNNNNNNNNNNNNNNNNNNNNNNNNNNNNNNNNNNNNNNNNNNNNNNNNNNNNNNNNNNNNNNNNNNNNNNNNNNNNNNNNNNNNNNNNNNNNNNNNNNNNNNNNNNNNNNNNNNNNNNNNNNNNNNNNNNNNNNNNNNNNNNNNNNNNNNNNNNNNNNNNNNNNNNNNNNNNNNNNNNNNNNNNNNNNNNNNNNNNNNNNNNNNNNNNNNNNNNNNNNNNNNNNNNNNNNNNNNNNNNNNNNNNNNNNNNNNNNNNNNNNNNNNNNNNNNNNNNNNNNNNNNGGUAUAUCUAGUACUUGAAGUACCUCUACCGCUAGUAAUUCGCUUUUUGCUACCACUACCACUUCUGGGAUAAAUUUUUUUAACACUUUUACCGAGGUUUCUUAAUUUAUCCAUAGUAUAAAUCAAACUAAAAAAUAUUUAAAAUACACAAAAAGUAAUAAAAAUAAAUAUUCAACAAUUAAUACACUAAUUAUAAAUUAAAAGUAAGAGAUGGAACGACAAUACCAAAUUUUGAAAGUAUCCGAAGGUUUUGACUUUAGAAACUUCCACUCGUACUUAGUAAUCGCAAAAUUAAAAAAAUUAAAGUGAGCACUUUAGAAAUUAAAUAUAUAGAAUAUUUGAGAAUUGAGAAAUGAGAUUUGAGAGAGAAUGAGAUUUGAGACUUGAGAGGAUGAAAAAUUGUGUGGAAAACGAUUUGAAAGCGUAGGGUAUUUAUAGAAAUUUUUUUGUGAUUAAAAAAUGAUUUUAAAUAAAAAAAACUUUUUUUUUUAUAUUUGGGCCCAAACUAGCCGUUAUAGCCGUUGGACCAACGGCUAGUUUGGCCCAAUUUUCCAAAAUCUUAAAAAAAAAUAAAAAAUUAAAUGGACUUAUCCGGGCCAGGCCGAGCUAGUUAACUGGCGGGCCCUAACCGAGUUGAGUCCGAUCCGGAUUAACUGGGCCCGAAUUCAAAACCCAACCAGACCGGGACCCGAGCCCUUAAAGCCCUUGGGCUUACCGAGCCGGGUCAAAUCGAUCCGAUUUCCUUUAGUGAACCAGUUCGGGCCGGUUAAAACCGGCCCAUUUGACACUCUUAGUGGUAGAACAAUCAUCAUCCUCAAUACAAUAUAUAUCCUCAAUACAUGUGCUUUGACUAACAUUACUCUUAGGAUAUUGAAUAUUCAACUACUACCCAUCCAAACACUCCUUAAUUCACCCCCUAAUUUGUUUAAGCUCUAAUAUGAUUAUGUGACUUGUUUACACUCCUUCAAAUGCGUAGAAAUCCACACAACAUUUAUUUUUAAUUUAUUUAUUCAUUUUUUAACUACAUCCAAGUGAUGAUCUAUAGCAGUGUACAUAGAUCACCGUGGUCUAUGCAUAAUCAUGAUAUCAAUCGAUACACUACUAAAGGUGUAAGACUACGGUAGACCAGACUAAUCGAUGGCUGACAUAGGUCAUGAUCUACGACGAUCUAUUAAGUGUCACCACCAGUCCAAGAUUAUCUAUGUAAAUCUUUUUUAAUUAAAUUACUUUUUUCUACCAGCCCAAAAACAUGUGAUUAUCUAUUUAAAUUAUUUUUAAUUUAAUUAUUUUCUUCACUAGCCACAAAACAUGUGAUUAUCUAUUUAAAUUUAUUUUUAAUUUAUUUAUUUUCUUCCACCAGCCACAAAACAUGUGAUUAUAUAUUUAAAUCAUUUUUAAUUUAAUUAUUUUCUUUUACCAGCCACAAAACAUGUGAUUAUCUAUUUAAAUUUAUUUUUAAUUUAUUUAUUUUCUUCCACCAGCCACAAAACAUGUGAUUAUAUAUUUAAAUCAUUUUUAAUUUAAUUAUUUUCUUCCACCAGUCACAAAACACUUGAUAAUCUAUUUAAAUCUUCCUUAAUUAAAUUAUUUUAUCCCCCACCAGCCCCAAAACAUGUUAUUAUCUUUUUAUAUCAUUUUUAAUUUUAUUAUUUUACUCCACCAGCCCCAAAACUUGUUAUUAUUGAUUUUAAUUUAACUGAUGGCCCAUCGAUUUGCAUGAUCGACGAUCGACUACUAUGUUAGGUUGAUGAUAGAUUGAGUAUACGAUCGAUGAUCGACUAUAUAUGUUAUCAAUGAUAGACUAUUUAUGUGAUCUGUAUUUACAGAUGCCCCCCAUUCACUAUAGAUGCAAACACCAAAAAUAACAAUAACCAAAAAGAGGGAAACGAAAUUUGAAAAUAGAAAUACUUUGUUCAUUGCAUAAUCAUACGAUUUUUAUAUUUAAAACAUUGACACAUUGGUCAAAACAACCAAAAUAAGCAAAAAAUGAAGAAGCUUUCUGCUAACAACAAUCAUACAACAAAGUUUCGUCUGCAAUGAACACAAAAUAAAAACUUAUAAACAUAAAAAAAAAUAAAAAACUAAAAAAAUAGAUUUCACGGGGAUGUUGGAGGGGCCAUCCAUUCCAAGCCUUUCCAGAAUUGCCCUCAAGAAAUGGGCAAUUCGAUGAAAUUCCCGCUCUAGGUAGAUGCGGUCUUGACCCAGUACAUAGAACAGGCAGUCGAAAUCAUUCCUAAGAAGGAAGAGGUCGUAAUGUCAUGGGGGAACACAUCUGAUGGGGCACAAGGAUAUCCUUCUUGGAGGCAUAUUUUUUAUUUAGGUGAAAAGGAAGAAGAAGAGGGUUUCUGAUAUUUUGGGUUUAGAGACAAGUGAAGGGUUGCGUAGAAAUAGGAACUGUACUUGAUACAAUAAGGACAACGGAAGGAUGAAACACACCCCAAGACAGUCCACAAAUCACAAGAUCCGAGGACCUAUUGGAGACCAACUCUCAGAUUCAACAAAUACAACAAGAAUACAAGAUACAAGAGUGUAUUUUAACACCAAAACAACUACAAAACGUGAUGAACAAGAUGAACAACAAUAAUACAAGUUUUGGAUUCAACGAAGGGCCCAGAAUAGUCCACUACACAACAUAUACACGAUUUGCAAGAAAGUAAAGGAUAGAUAGUGAGACUAAGAUUAUUACAAGAUUAAGAACCAAGUAUAUUUCAACAUUAACCCCUAAUGAAUAUAAUAAUCAAAACCACACUCUUACGGUGACCACCAAGGGAAUCAACACACCCUAAGAUCCACUGUUUCUAAGCAAAGAACAAUGUUAGCUUUUCCAAGCCCUAUACUAAAACUACACUAAGUUGGUCUACUCUCAAGAGAGAGGAUUUUAAGUGUUUCAAUAUUUCAUCUUUCAUAAACUAAAGAGUAAAGACCUAAAAUGUACUACUUAUAGUAUAUUACAAAAGUAGAUAAAAAGACCACAUUACCCUUAAUGACCAAGGUGGCCUUAGUGUGUUGGAAGACAAUAUAAAUUGACCAAAAUGCCCUUAAGGCUAAGAGAUCAAAAUAAACUUAGUAAAGGGAACCAAAAUCGUGAACCAACAAAGGUGGUCCAAACCCGAGAGUCCUUAAGUCUUCAAGGCUCCAAACAAUCUUCCACACUUAGAUUUGAUCAAUGGUAGGUUCAAAACAUCCCUUCCAAUUAUGAUCCUGUUCCCUUCAUGCGACCAAAGCUUGAUUCUUCACAUAGUGACUUUGAAUGAUGUCGUCAAAAGCUAAGGCGGCCAUUAUUCUUCUAUUAGUACUUACAGACCUACAGAUGACAUUCUUUCAUCUAUCCACCCAAUGGUCAAUUGAUGUGUAUGAGAAGAGAAAACGUUUGGUUUACAUAUACCAGUUGCUUUUCUUGUGAACAGAUGUUUUUACAGCUUUUCAUUAAAUGGGAAUGGGAAACAAUGAUUCAUUGCAUCGAUUGGAGAGAUUAUGAAAAAAAUGACCAAGAUAGUGUGUUUGAUAAGCAAUAAUAUAACCAAUACAUAAUAUUUUGUAGACCUUGUUAAAUAUAUACCAUAAACUUUACGUAGUCUAUCGUAGAUAACGCUUUAAGUCGAUUACAACUGCACAUUAAAAUCUAUAGAAAUGCACAUUUAGCCACUAAAACAGUAGCUUUACAACUGAAUCUAAAAAAAAGCCUAUCUAUGAUUUGAUGGCCAUUCUACACGUGGUAUUUUUAUGCCUGAAUUUCUUGCAUAUUGAACAUUUAUUCCUCCUUUUGGACUUGAGUUUCUCAUUGACGCCCUUAGUGCAUUUGAAUUUCUUUCUUUCAAGUUUGGAAUGUAGGAGGUGGAGAAAUUUUAGUGUCUAGCAAUUUCUGUGGCACAGUCCAUUCGGCCUCCAGAGGGACAACGUUAAUUGCUUCUGAGUAUGCGAGGAGGUAACUUUCAACUUUAUAAAUUGGCAAAGAGUACUCGUAGAUGGAGUUACCAUAACUUUCGCCAUCACCAUACUUUGCUCGUAAAGCUGCCAUCGCAUGUUCGUACGGCAUUUUCAACAAGUCAAAUUUCCGACAAGAACAACUUCACUUUAAGAGAUUGACCUUGGCAGUAACGCCGUUGCCGAACACCGUGUAUUGGUCGAGAACCGCAUUUGGAUUACUCACAUACAAGGAAUCACUCGCACUCUUACUAUCCCUUAGGAUCCUUUUCGCAUAAGGCACAAAUUUGUUCUCUUUACCAUCGACAAAGGCAUGCCGCUCCCUAAAAUUUUCACCAAAUUUUCUAGCAAUUGAAUUGAAUAUGUACGACACGGGUUACUCCCGUUCAUCACAUCGUACCUAUUUCCCAGAAAGUGUGCUCUACUCCAUUUUUUAAAACCAUACACAUUUUCAAGGACAUAAGCUGCCUCAGGGCAAUUACUCUUCAAUUAUGCAAAAUUAUCGCUAAACUCAUCAAAGGAAUAAGCCUUUCCCGUGGCGUAGAAUAGAUAAAGUUGUUCUAUGUAGUAUUGAUUUACGCAAACAUUUUCAGUGAAGUGCCUCAUGCAAAGUCUGUGAUGUGCACGACUGUAUACACGAGAAAAGGCAUUGGCAAUGCUAAUGUGCUUGUCGGAGAUGCCACAUAGAUCUGGUUCAUCUUCUACUAUAGACUCAUCUUCUUGAAGAAGAAGGUUCAAGAAGCAUCAUUCUCUUUAUCCACAACACAAAAGACAAUCGAAAAGAUAUAAUUUUCAGCAUCCUAUGCAACGACACUCAGCAAAAUGCCCUCGUACUUACCAUAAAAUAUGUGUCAUCGAUGGCAAUUACCUUUCUCAUGUUGGUAUAUCCCCUAAUGCAAGCUCCGAAUGCUAAGAAGUAGUAAAUGAAUGAUCCAUCCAUCCGGUUUACCAAGAUAGAGUAAGAAGACCCGGGAUUUGAUAACUCCACUAUGUGAGAAAAAGAUGGCAAGCAAGCAUAUCCGUGCUUCGGUGUCCCGCAAAUAAUGUUCUUUGUAAUUACACUUCCUUUCCAACACAUCCAAUAGCUUACAUUGCAACGCAACUCCUUAAAUACAAUCCUUUGAAUUUCUCUUAUGCUUAGACCCUUACCAUCCCGAAAAUGAUUUACACAUACUGAAUAAUCAAUUUAGAUGAGACUUUCUUGUGCCUGUAGGUGGCGUGUUCAACACCGCACGUGCGCAACCCGACAUACUCGUAUAUGCAAAUCUGUCCGAGGUGUCAUACUUUUUUACCCGCAACAACCAGCCACAACCACGAGAUAAAUAUUUUGCCUUAAUCAAUUUCGUGCAUCUCUGAUACAAGAUCAAACAAAAACAAGGAAAUUAAGAGAUCUACAAGACAAUAACACUAGAGAAUCAAAGGCCCCACUCGACUUUUCUAUGUUUUCAAGACAACAACCACAAUAUUCAACAAGAUAAAUAGAGAACACAUGAUUACAAUGACUAUAGUGAAUCAAAAGAUCCCCAUACGGCUUCACUACAUCAACACAAAAAUAACAAGAUUACAACAACAAGAAAGUCACGGGUACAUUAAAAACAAAAAGAAACCAACAGAUACAUCAAGAUACAAGAUAAAUAGUUAGACCAAACGAAGGGACAAUCUUAAGAACCCAAGAAUUGUUACACUCUUGGACCCUUAACACUACCCACGAUACAAAACUAACUCUACGUUGACACAAGAGGGCCUUUACCUCCUCUAAACACCAACGUUUCAAGCCAAUAGGCAAACACAAGUGAAUCUUCACUUGUCUAGCCUUAGUUUUGGUUGGGGUUUCUAAAGAGAGAGGCUAAAAUGUUACAAUGUUUCAAGUCUUGACAAUGAUCAACCAAGUCUCAAAAAUCCUAAGUUGGUCUAUUUAUAUAACAACACAAAAUAAGACAUAAAUGAAAAAAGUGUCCUUUUAAUUAAAAUGCUCCAAUGGGCUGCCCAUGGAGUGCAUCCAUAGGGUGGUUUUGGACUUCAUUAACACUUAAGUUCGGGCCUUCUCUCGGUUGUCAUUGACAUGCUCAAAAUAUGUCCAUCUACGAGGUCAUACUCGUAUCAUCCUCUCCACCUUGAAAAGAUUUUGACCUCAAACUCACAGCUUCAUCAACCUCACGGCUCCCCCAUAGAAUCACCUCCUCAUUUUUUGUCCCAAAGAUUGGAGGCUUAGACAAGGAAUCCUUGAGUUCAUCAAGUAUAUUUUUGUUAGAAAGUUGCUUGGCAUCUCCCCUGGGAAGAAUAAGAUCAUGUACCUGCACACAAGCAAAGGCGGUACUAGGCAAAAUGCUAGUACCUACGUUAGUGAGAAGUAAAGGAUUCCCGAGGGUAAGUCCCAAAAGUGAGGACUCAUUGUCUUUUUGCUCUUUGAUUCCCUAUCCUUCUCCUCUACUCCCACUCUCGGUCCUUCCCUUUCUCUCCUUCUUCCUCUUUUCUUCAAACUCUCUAACUUGUUGACUAACUUCGGCCACUUGUAUCGGUGAGAGAGAGUAGAGUGUAUACCUUCGGCCAUGGUGCUCCAAAGUGUAGCUAUUGGCUCGUCCAUGCACGGUAUAUUUUUCAUAUUUCCAUGGUAUUCCCAAUAAUAGGUGGAACGCUUGCAUAGGAAUAACAUCACACAACACCUCGUCAAAGUAGUUGCCUACCUUGAACUAUAUCACCACUUUUCAGUUCACCUUUAACUUCCCGCACUCAUUUAAACAUCAAAGGUUGUAGGGGCUAGAAUGACGGAUAGUGGGAAGCCACAAAACAUCAACCAAGGUACUUCUAGCAAUAUUGGCACAAUUACCUCCAUCAAUAAGCAUAGAACACACAACCCCCUUAAUAAGGCAUUUGGUGUAAACAAGGUUUUCCCUUUGACUGGGAUCACGCAAAACCUUACUAAUCAUAGCCUUUCUCACUACAAAACAUGGCACUUCAAUCUCACCUUCACACGGCCAAGCAUCCUCCUCCUCUUCUUCCUUUGGUUUUUCGAGUUCUAUCCCCUCUCCACCUUGAGAUUGAUCAUCAAUCUCCUUCAGUUCAAGUCCCACCUCCUCCUCAAGAAAAUAUAAUUUUCCCUCCCUUAAGAUCACAUUCCUCCUAUUUGAACAUUCACUAGCCUUGUGUCUCCAACCUUGGCAUUUAAAACAUUGAAAACCCUUAGAAUUAGGAAAGGAAUACGGUUUAACUUUAUUUCUCGGAGGGUACCUUUGAGGUGUCUUGUUUUUAUCUUGGGAAGCCUUGGCCUCGGGUUGCUCCACUUUGGAAGAAUCAUUCUUGUCAUGGUGCCAACCUGAGAAUGAUUGGACUUUGAACUUGGACCUCGAUUUCUCCCCCAACUCUCUUUCAAUUUCCAAUAUGGCUUGGAAGAUGGCAUCAAGGGUGUCAAACUUGUGAAGUGUCAAACAUGAAGCAAUAUCUCUAUUCAACCCCACCUUGAAUCGGAUGAUGUUGUGACUCACUUGUUCCCCUCUAUGAUCAAGUUUCAAGAUGAGUUGUUGGAACUCAUCGUAGUAAGCCACGACACUUUUGUUUCCUUUCCUCAAGUUAUACAACUUGGCAAGGAGCUCUUGAUAAUAUAUUUCGGGUAGGUACCUUUGUCUCAUAAGGUACCUUAGCCGAAACUAAGGAGGGGGCUGCCCCUCUACUAAACGUUGCCAAAAUGCUUAACAUAUUCCCACCAUGUAGUAGCAUAACCUUCAAAGUGAGCAAUCACGUAGCAACUCUUUUUCUCCUCGGUAAGAUCAUUGACUUGGAAGACCCUCUCACAUGCAGAUUUUCAUGUAAGAAACUCUUCGGGAUCACUCUCACCCUUGAAGAUUGGAAGCCCCAUUUUAAUGGUAUUUAGUCCUACUUCACGGUUUUGGUUCUCUUGUUGGUUCCAAUGACCAACUCUUCCUUCUCAACCAUGAACCUCUCUUGGAUCAACAUGUCUACCCUGUACCUUUUCCCCCUCAUGUAACCAUCAUCAAAAGGCCCAUACCCCUCAUAUUGGAUAGGUCUAUUCAGGUUAAGUAGAGCUUGUAGUUGUGGGUUUGGAUUUGGUGGAUAAUAAGGUCUUUGGCCUAAUGGAAUUUGGUUUGGAGGACUUGGGUUAUGGGGUGAAAUUUAGGUUCUAAGUCCUUCUUGUUAGACUUGGUGAAGUAGUGGUUGGAUUGGCCUCUCAUGUUCUCGGGUGAGGGAGUAUAGUUGAGUUCGGUUUGUUACAUUGGAUGGUUGUCUUGGUGGAUGGAACAUUUGGUGCAAGGUCUCAGGAGUAGUGGUCGGGGAAAUAUUUUGAGGGGUGGAUGUUCGACUUCUUUGACUUUCCACAUGCUCUAAUCUCCUACUAAUUGAUGCCACAUCCGUAUCUAGUUUCUCAAGACCCACAUUCAACUCAGCCACAUCUCGAGACACAGUUUCAAGGUGAGCCAAAAUGAGAUUAAAGGCAUUACUAUCCAUUAUUUGAGCAUUUGAAGCCUUGGGUUCCAUUUUGAUGGUAUUGGGAUUAGUCCUUCAAGUUAUGGUCCAACAAGUCACCAAAUCAAUCCACUAUGUCACACACAACAAUACAUCACAAAACAUACAAAACAAACAAACGUUAGUUCAAACAACCUCACUAUUCUCUCACUCACUUUGUGGCCUCACACUUGAUGUCACAAAUUUUGCAAGUCAUCUUGUAGUUGUGGUGAGUUGAAGAGUAAGUCUACUCCUUAGACGAAAUGAAUUCUUUGUUGGAAGACUCAAGUAAGUGAUGUUAGAACUUGAACCAAGAAGAACUACGAUUAUAAAAAUGACAAAAGGACAAAAGAAACGUAGACACGAACAAUGAAUUCAAAGGACUAAAUGACAAUCUAGUAGGAAUUUACUAGUUUGUUAAUUAGUUCUAGGAUCAACUAAUGAAACAAAGAAUCAACAAUAAGAAACUAGAAAAAUCCAAAUUUGAGCUUAAUUAUUGAUGUGAAUAGUAGAAAGUGGUGAUGUAGUAGCAUGGAAUUUGUCUCGGGCCCACACAACUUAGUCAUAAAUUUGAAAUUUUCAACCUUCACACAAUUUAGAAUGAAAGACAAUUGGUUUUGAGGGGGGGGGAGUAUAAGUCUUGAGUCUUUUAAGUUAUUCUCAAAAAGAUGAUCUUGACUUGUACUAGUUCCACCAAACAAGGCUCCUUGAUUUAGGGAUAGUAAUUGAAAAAGUGGAUGUCAAGUCUAGAAAGUGAUGAUUCAAGUCUUCUCACAAACAACUUUACAACUUUUAUCUUCACCCCUUUUGAAUCUAUUUUCACCUUUUGUUAGUUAUAUUGUAAGACUAGGUGAAGAACAAGAUGAACAUACAACAACUUCAAGAACAACACCAACAACAACAAUGUUCCACUCCAAGUCUACAACAAUAUCACCAUUCGUCCAAUCUUGGAAGUUCACAAUAACAAUGUCAUCUUUUAAGCUCAAACUUUAGAUUUAGACACUUGUAGUGUUGGUGGGGAAGAAACCAACACUUGAAACACUCUAAAUAAACAAAAUGACUAGCAAAUCUAGCCACAAAAACACCAAUCUCGGCCAAGACAACAACACAACAGUAAUUUCUCGACCAAGAACAAGAUGGAUAGAUUUCUUUUUUUUUUUUUGGAAUUUUCAGAUUUUAACAAUUUUUUUUUCUUAGGAAGAAAGCCCAAGAUUGGUAUUGUAAGAACAAAAUCAAAGAUGACUUUGAUACCAAAUGAUACAAGAUCAAACACAAAAAAGGAAAUCAAGAGAGCUACAAGACAAUAACACUAGAGAAUCAAAGGCCCCACUCAGCUUUUCUAUGUUUUCAAGACAACAACCACAAUAUUCAACAAAAUAAAUAAAGAACACAUGAUUACAAUGAAUAUAGUGAAUCAAAAGAUCCCCAUAUGGAUUCACUAAAUCAACAUAUAAACAAUAAGAUUACAACAACAAGAAAGUCACGGGUACAUUAACAACAAAAAAGGAACCAACAGAUACAUCAAGAUACAAGAUAAAUAGUUAGACCAAAUGAAGGGACAAUCUUAAGAACCCAAGAAUUGUUACACUCUUGGACCCUUAACACUACCCACGAUACAAACCUAACUCUACGUUGGCACAAGAGGGCCUUUACCUCCUCUAAACACCAAUGUUUCAAGCCAAUAUGCAAACACAAGUGAAUCUUCACUUGUCUAGCCCUAGUUUUGGUUGGGGCUUCUAAAGAGAGAGGCUAAAAUGUUACAAUGUUUCAAGUCUUGACAAUGAUCAACCAAGUCUCAAAAAUCCUAAGUUGUUCUAUUUAUAUUACAACACAAAAUAAACAUAAAUGAUAAAAGUGCCCUUUUAAUUAAAAUGCUCCAAUGGGCUGCCCAUGGAGUGCAUACAUAGGGUGGUUUUGGACUUCAUUAACACUUAAGUUCAGGCCUUCUCUCGGUUGUCUUUGACAUGCUCAAAAUAUGUCCAUCUACGAGGUCGUACUCGUAUCAAGAUCUUCUUCAUAUAAUAAUGAAAUGACUGCCUCGCCGUUGCUAUGUCUAGUAGCAUUUUCAGCUCUUUCUUAUCGGCGAAUGUUUGACCACAACAGAAAUUGGUUUCAUCGGUGAAGGAGUAUCCUAGUUGUGAUCCCGUUCCACUGUCUUCUUUAUCAUCUUGCGAGUUCGAUGAAAAGUCUUCCAUAUGUAUAGAAUCAUCUUCCAUAUUAAUUUGAUGAUCGCCAUCGUUCUCGUAAUCAUUAAAUUUGUCGUCGAUCAAAUCAUCGUCGACUAUCGGACGCCGCAGUGGGGGUGCUGAUGAAUUCAGUGGUCCUUCAAAGGACCUCUUAACCACAUUUAUCCUCAAAAUAGGCCUAAAGCCAUCAGCAUCAGCAUCCAUUAUGUACGUCAGCAUACGUACAUCGCUAUUUAUGAUCGUAGGAUUCACCUUUUUUCUCGAAUGAAUUAGAUAACUAAUCACCACAUCGCUCAACGCACAAUCUAGAUCCGUGCUCUACAUAACGCUUGCAAAGAAUUCAUUGUACGAACUGUUGCGGCGAACAGGAACGAGAAUUGUCACCUUGGUAAAUGAUCUUCAUUUCCAACAUUUGAGAGUCUCCACCCAUUCUCCCAUGAAAUCACCAGAAACCAGAAUAAAUUCUGCAAUAGACAUCCUAGAAUUAAGCUUUGCUCGAUGAUAGAUUAUGCUUAGGGUCUAUGUCGGGAUGUAUGCACGGUCGAUGACUGACGAUGACGAGUCGAUGGCUACGCAGAUAUCCAUACAAAAACUUAAAAUUGCAAAUAUUGCUUCUAAUCAAUAAUUGUUGUGUUUAUGGAAUAGAGAAAUGAACUUGGAGUCGCCUGUAAUGCACUUGCUAAAGUGGUUUUGAGUAAUGUGAGUGAUUUAAAGCUUUUUAAUAAUGGUGGAAAGUGUUUGAGAAGAUAGGAAACAAAUGGGGUAACAAUGGAUGCAAUGGACAAACUUAUGAUGUUUGUAGACUAAUUUACAGGUGAUCGCUGAAAAAUAAUGCCGAAAAAGUGGCCGAAAUUGGAGCUUUUUGAAGGAAAAAAUAACCACAUUUUAUUUUUAGCUUUUGAAAAAAAAAUUAAAUAUUUUUGGAAAACCUAGAUAUUUUUGUAUAUAUAAUGAUGGGUGAUGAAGUGGGUUGAAGUGAAUUAUUAAAAACUUAUGGGUGAAUUUAUUAAGUUGGAAGUUGAUACGGGAAUAAUCACGGAUAUGAACUUAGGAGAGUGCGUGUUGGACCCAAGACUUGGCACGUGCAAUUGAAGUGUAAAAGAGGCCCAAAAUGCACCCAAAUCAGCCUAUAAAUUACACUAGAUGGGUGCCUACUCUUUGAAGGACCUUUUGGUCAUUUUAACUUAUAUUUUGUUAUAGCUAUAAAAGGAACAUUGUAGGGUUUUUAGUUUAGUUUUUAGAUGAUAUUUGUGAUUCUUGUAAGACUUGUAACAAGCUCUCUCUCUAGUGAGAAGAGUGACCACCAAAACUAGGAUACAACAAUAGGGUGGAUUCUCUUUUGUUGUUGCUUGCUUGGAAGCGUUGAUGAUAGAGAGGUGGAAUCCAAUCUUGUGUCACGUAAGAGAUACGUUUAUUGUUGUGUGUAGUGUUAAGGGUUCAAGAGUGUCCAUUCUUGGGUUCUUAAGAUUAUAACUUCAUGUGGUCUAUCUAUCUAUCCUUUUACCUUCUUGUAAUCUUGUUUAGUGUUUGUGUUGUAAUCUUGUGUUCUUAUUGUUAUUGUUAAAUCUGAAUCUUGUUCAUCAUAUUAUGUUGUUAAUCUAGUUUGUUGUUUGCUGAUUUGGUGUAAUAAACACCUUGCUAUCUUCUUGUUAUUGUGUUCUUGGAAAGCCGAGACUUGGUCCCCAAAAGGGUUCAUGGAUUUCUUCCAUUUUGUGGACUGUUUUUUGGACUGAUUUUAGUGUUUCCUUGUUUGUCCCAUAUCAGAAGUAUUGAGUUAAGGUGAAUUAUUAUAAAAGUUGUGGCUGAAAUUGUUAAGUUGGAAAAGUGGUGGUGAGGUGGAAUUAAGUGGGUAUACGACCAAUUUUUUCAAACUUUUGGAUAUUUGGCAAAAUAGUUUUGAAAAAGAGUUCUUUUGACAUACUUGCCCUGGAAGGUGGUUUGAGAAAUUUUUUUUUUUCAAUUAAGUGAUGUUUUGAAAAGAAAUUAUUUAUUUACAGAAUCGUUAUUUGGAAUUGAAUUUUGAUGUUCCAAGUUAGCUUAUUUUGGAUAUCCCGAUAAAAAGGGAAUUGACUCUUUAAUAUUGGUUUGCGUUUGGACACCCAGUAAAAAGGAAAUUGACUCUUUAAUAUUGAUUUGUAAACUAGAAAUUAGGAUAAAGAAUUUUGUUGGUUGAGUGGCCACGAACGCUUUAUUGGCUUAAAUUACUUAUUGGAUAACUUAGGUUCAUUAUAUGUGUAAAUAACAUAAAUAUCAACCUUGGAUUUUUGUAAUAUAUUUAGGGAGUUGGGAUUUUUUGUAAUAUUGAAAACAUAAGUUGUGUAUUUGUGUAAUUUUUAGUUAUUAUAUUUCGAGUGAGGAGCGUAGCCAGCCUUGUAACUGUAGAAGUUAACCAAGAAGCGUAACCGCAGACAUUAACCUCGAUACAUUAAUUAAAGAUUUUGCAUGAUUUUUUGACUUCUUUCUGAAGUUUUCAUCUCUAAGUGAGAGAAAUUUAACACCGCUAAAGGAGAACCAAAGCUGAAAGAUGCACCUCAUAAAAAGUUCUAAAGAGUUAAAUUAAACUAUCUUAAGCAUCCACUACUUGGUCUGUUCUUGUAAAUUCGAUUUUAUAGCUGUGAUUUUGGUAUUAGAUACAUGCUGUAUUUGUACAGAAAGCAAGCAAUGGGGCAUGGGUUGACAUAUAUAUGUUUCACAAAGCAAUUCCUCCUUCACAUGUGUUGUAAUUGAUACAAACAAUUAAAAUUAAUCAAGUAAAAGAAAGAUCAGCCAAAUACACAUAUCAAUUAAUUUUACAACAUAUAAAACAUUUGAGCCGACGUAAUCCCAUAUUAUAUAAGGUUCUGCUUUGAAUUUAAUGAUGCUAAAAUCUGAUCAACAUCGAAAAUAUUAACAGCUUAAACACAUAUGAAUUUGAACAACUUCACAAUAUUAUAUUGAAAUCAAGUUUCAUAUAAUUGCUAAACUAAGUUAGAGAGAAAGAUUGAGAGUUACCUAUUACGAAAAUAAUUUUCAAUAACUUCAAAGCUACAAACUCGAAAUCAUGAACCAAAACCUCAAAAAAUGACUAAUUUUCUUUCGUUCUCUCCGCCUCUUUUCUUUU